Molecule: long non-coding RNA, 2084 nt
Filed under: Capra hircus (goat)
Lineage: Eukaryota; Metazoa; Chordata; Mammalia; Artiodactyla; Bovidae
Description: lncRNA (ENSCHIG00010026554.1)
Source: RNAcentral
UUUCUAGAUUCCGUAUAUAUGUGUAACACUGUAUAUUAAACAUAUAUGAAUUACUACAGGAUCAGUGGCUUAUCAUUUGUUGAAAUAUUACAUUCUCUUUUGAGAAUUUCGAAGAAUUUUCUACAAGAUAUUUUGAAUACACUUCUAUUUACGAACAUUGCUCAAACACAGGUAUACAAAAAUGGAGGUGUUUCACACUAUGAUGCAGCUUAAGUUGAUUCUAGAAUUGACACUGCAUAUCUGAAAUAAACAUGUAUUAGAAUGCCUACAGGCUAAAGCUAUAGCUCUUUAAAGCUCCUAAAUACUGAGAUUGGUCUCUUUGUAAGUGUAGCCUAUCUAAAAUGAAAUGUUUUCCUGGCAUUUUCAAAAUUUCUCAGGUCAUCCAAUGGACUCCAUGAAAUAUUAAGGUUCAUUCAGCUCUGUAGAUUUGUGCUAUGUUCCCUAUUUCUUGUUAUAAAUUCACAAUUUGGCCUCUACCAAUCCCUUGCUUCCCUUAAUUCACAAUCAUGCUCUCUAGACAGGGGCAUGUUUGAAAAAACAACGAAGAUGAGAAGAGCUGGCAUUUUAUUGGGUCAGUAACUCAGAAUGGAUAACAAGGAAAACUCACUUCCCACACACCUGAAACUGCCUCUGUCCUCAUCCUCAUGGGAUAAGGAACAGCUGUCUUUUUCACUGUGUUACUGAAAAAGCCACUUGAGCACAGAGUGGAAUUUUACCACUGUUUCUGCACACAUUUAAAUGGAACAAGUUAAAUUUUCAUUUUAUCAAUGAGAAAAGAGAUUCAGGAAAAUUAAAAAAAUUUGCCUCAAAUCACAUAGAUUUUAUAUAGUGAAACUUUAUGAGAACUUGAGCAGUUUGACUUCAGAACAGGUGUUCUUAACCACUAGGAUAUUUAUCAUGGACAGCGGUUUGUCUCCUGGAGUCAUGCCUCAAAACCACGGUCGCACUUUGCUUUUAUGGGGUGUCCAGAGCAAUGAAGAGUCAGAUUGUCCACCUGCCUACCUCUCACCAAGGAAGAAGGUUCUGAUGAGAAAUUCCAGCCCUGUAAGAAUCAGCCAUCGUAGCUUCCCCUCUGGCUCAGCGGAUUCUUUCUUCCAAUAAUAUGGAAAAUGGUACUUUGUACCUAUUUUAUAUUCUUCUGCAGAAAACUGCCCUGAAAGGAAGAGACAUCAUCGACAUCAUCAUAAGAAAUAAAUAACUGGAACAGAUUUAAUUCAGGCUAUUAAAAAUAAAAUUUAGAUCUCUAAAUUCUAAUGAUGUGUGUUUAAAAAUCCUCAGUCAUUGUGGAUUUAUUAAAAUUACUUUAUUCAAUGUAAUUGUUGGUAUUUAAUUGUUCACCUCUCACAACUCAUUACGGCUUUAAUAACACUUUUCUAAAUGAGAAAUAUCAUGGUACGUAUAUAAACAUACAUGUUGCCUUAUAGUUUACAAAAUGGUUUUAUCUAAAUUAUCAUUCUGGAUCAUCUUCAUAUUCUUUAAUUAUAUAUUAAUAUAUAAUGAAUUUACUAACAGAAAGCUAAUUUGUAUCAAAAUUCUUAUCUGGGAAGUUAAGCGACCAAACUAAUUACAAAAAAACAUUCAGGCACAAACUAAGAUAUACUUAAGUCCUUAGCACUCAUUAAAGAAAGUAUUUGGACAGCACAAUGCUUUAAAACAGUACUGGAUUCCCAUCAACCUCUAAGGUCCCCCACCCAGCUCUUGAGAAGUUUUUGCCAAGUAGUGAAAAGUGACCUCCCUCCCCCACUAGCCUUUAUUCCCAAGGCUCAGGCAGAGAGGAACAUUUCUCCAAGAGUGUGUUAAUUAAGUCCCUUAAUAAUAAGGGGGUGUAAAGCACUAUAAGAUUUUAAUUUGUCUUUCUAUGGAAAUUCAUGAUAGGAUUUCUUUUUCAUCUAUUUUGUUAUUGCGAAAUACGCCAUCACAAUAAUUGAAUUUUUAACACUGCAAAUGGCUCAUAACAACACCUUGCAUCACCACUUCAAUUCCAAUUUUAACAUAAUUAGGACAUUAUAGGUAGAGAGAUAGUAAAGCCAUUUUUUUUUUCAUUGUCAGCACCAAGAAUAACUCCAUGAUUUUUGUCAUCUGGG